UAUUUUCAACUUGUGGGAAAAAUGGUUGAAUGCAUUUUCAGUUUUCCAUAAAUAUAAAUUAUAUUACACAUUAGGGACAGCAAUACUGAACUCCAUUGGAACAAUAAUUGUUGACCAUAUCCUCUCCUCAAAUGAUGACACUCAACCGCAGCAGGAAUGAAAAUGAAGAUGAAAUUUCCUGCCAUGGAGCCCCUCUCCGAUCAUCGCCUGACAUACUCUGAUGGCGAGGAAAGAAAUGCAAGGAAAAGGUCGACAAGGUGAAACCGUGCACGAGACCUAUACAACACACGAGCAGGACAUUUUACCUGUGGCGUGCCUCGAGAAUCAGGUUUCAACUUUGGAAGAAAGUGAUGGAGAAACGCAGAUGUAAGAACAGCCAUGGAGCGAGCAAUGAGGCCAAACCUAUGAAGGGAAUGAAACAAAAUGAUGGGAAAAAAGGAGCAAAUCAAACUGUCAAGACAGCUCAAGAUUAUCGUGAAGACAAAAGAGAACUGGGCAAGCAGAAGUAUUGCAAAGUCUCAAAACCAUCUCGACCAGUUGAUGGAGAAGUUUCAAAAACCACUGUAUUUUUCAGUUUCAAAACCACAGUUUAUCAAAACGACAGUUCAGAACCACAGUUUCAAAAACCACAAAAACCACCAACAAAGAGCAAACAGUGUCCUACGACAAAAAUCACUGUAUCACCAACAAAAAGCAAACAGUGUCCAAUGACAAAAACCACUGUAUCACCAACAAAGAGCAAACAGUGUCCCAAGACAAAAAUCACCGGAGCUCAGAAUCCUGCUGAGAGCAAAGAAACACCUGGAGCUUCACCGAUUCGAGGGAAGAAGGUGACAGCUUUGAUUCCUCAAAUAAAAUAUGCUUGUAAGAUGCCGGUGAACAACUUCUAUCAGGCACAGAGACCCAAUUUUAGAGGCGGCUUCAAGGACAAUUCAAAUGAGUCGUAUGACCGUAAAAAGAAUGUACCAAGGUCUCUACAUGGGGAAGUGAAACAAAAACCUGUCUCUUUAAGUACACCCCUUUGCGCUGGGAGACAGCAACACAGUCGUCCCAAGGCUGGCCUGUCCCCCCAGUCUUCACCCGGUCAACAAUGUCAGCGAUUGAAAAAGAAAGGAAGCUUUUCUUUGAAAGAACGAGAAAACGAGAGCCAAAAAGAGUGCAUCACCUCUGAGAAGAGACACAAGGUAACUUCGAAUGUCACAACAAAAGGAAGUGAUGUGGAGGCUUCCACCAAUCAGCUAAAAGAGUACUCAAUCAGCCUCAAAUGA
RNAcentral lists this long non-coding RNA (1268 nucleotides) under Eptatretus burgeri (inshore hagfish). RNAcentral's name for it is "lncRNA (ENSEBUG00000017243.1)". Lineage: Eukaryota; Metazoa; Chordata; Myxini; Myxiniformes; Myxinidae. The record is from RNAcentral.